AGAGUUUGAUCCUGGCUCAGGAUGAACGCUAGCGGCAGGCCUAACACAUGCAAGUCGAGGGGUAACAGUUCCAAGCAAUUGGAAGCUGACGACCGGCGCACGGGUGCGUAACGCGUAUGCAACCUACCUUUAACUGGGAGAUAGCCCGGAGAAAUCCGGAUUAAUAUCCCAUAAUAUUUAAAAUAGGCAUCUAUUUUAAAUUAAAGCUUCGGCGGUUUUAGAUGGGCAUGCGUGACAUUAGUUAGUUGGUGAGGUAACGGCUCACCAAGACAACGAUGUCUAGGGGUUCUGAGAGGAUUAUCCCCCACACUGGUACUGAGACACGGACCAGACUCCUACGGGAGGCAGCAGUGAGGAAUAUUGGUCAAUGGACGAAAGUCUGAACCAGCCAUGCCGCGUGCAGGAUGACGGCCCUAUGGGUUGUAAACUGCUUUUAUAUGGGAAGAAACCUUUCUACGUGUAGAGAGCUGACGGUACCAUACGAAUAAGGACCGGCUAACUCCGUGCCAGCAGCCGCGGUAAUACGGAGGGUCCAAGCGUUAUCCGGAUUUAUUGGGUUUAAAGGGUGCGCAGGCGGAUCGAUAAGUCAGUGGUGAAAUCCCCCGGCUCAACCGGGGAACUGCCAUUGAAACUGCCGAUCUAGAGUACAGUUGAAGUAGGCGGAAUGUAGCAUGUAGCGGUGAAAUGCUUAGAUAUGCUACAGAACACCGAUUGCGAAGGCAGCUUACUAAGCUGUAACUGACGCUCAGGCACGAAAGCGUGGGGAGCAAACAGGAUUAGAUACCCUGGUAGUCCACGCCGUAAACUAUGAUCACUCGUUGUUGGCAAUAUAUCGUCAGCGACUGAACGAAAGUAUUAAGUGAUCCACCUGGGAAGUACGAUCGCAAGGUUGAAACUCAAAGGAAUUGACGGGGGCCCGCACAAGCGGUGGAGCAUGUGGUUUAAUUCGAUGAUACGCGAGGAACCUUACCUGGGCUUAAAUGUUAGACGACAGUUUCGGAAACGAAAUCUUCCUUCGGGACGUCUUACAAGGUGCUGCAUGGUUGUCGUCAGCUCGUGCCGUGAGGUGUCGGGUUAAGUCCCAUAACGAGCGCAACCCCUAUUCUUAGUUGCCAUCAGGUCAUGCUGGGGACUCUAAGAAAACUGCCUACGCAAGUAGUGAGGAAGGUGGGGAUGACGUCAAAUCAGCACGGCCCUUAUGUCCAGGGCUACACACGUGCUACAAUGGCCGGUACAGAGGGUUGCUACC
This 1249-nucleotide ribosomal RNA is filed under the name metagenome. RNAcentral describes it as "bacterial SSU rRNA". It matches the Rfam family "Bacterial small subunit ribosomal RNA", at positions 8 to 1254 of the family's 1533-position model. The record is from RNAcentral.